Molecule: ribosomal RNA, 466 nt
Filed under: uncultured bacterium
Lineage: Bacteria
Description: partial 16S ribosomal RNA
Rfam family: Bacterial small subunit ribosomal RNA
Source: RNAcentral
GAUGAACGCUGGCGGCGUGCCUAACACAUGCAAGUCGAACGGUGAAGCAGAGCUUGCUCUGUGGAUCAGUGGCGAACGGGUGAGUAACACGUGAGCAACCUGCCCCUGACUCUGGGAUAAGCGCUGGAAACGGCGUCUAAUACUGGAUAUGAGCUGCGACCGCAUGGUCAGCAGUUGGAAAGAUUUUUCGGUCUGGGAUGGGCUCACGGCCUAUCAGCUUGUUGGUGAGGUAAUGGCUCACCAAGGCGUCGACGGGUAGCCGGCCUGAGAGGGUGACCGGCCACACUGGGACUGAGACACGGCCCAGACUCCUACGGGAGGCAGCAGUGGGGAAUAUUGCACAAUGGGCGAAAGCCUGAUGCAGCAACGCCGCGUGAGGGAUGACGGCCUUCGGGUUGUAAACCUCUUUUAGCAGGGAGGAAGCGAAAGCGACGGUACCUGCAGAAAAAGCGCCGGCUAACUACGU